AUGUCACGUGCAAAGAUGAAGUAUGACCUUCUUCCCUCCCCGCCAGGAAAAAGAAAAAGAUGAGGAAAGCAGAGUGGAGAAAAAAAGGGAGGAAAAACGGGGAAAAUUAUUAUUUAAAUGAUGUUGGUUUCCUUGCUUUUGCUGCGUGAUGAUGGCCUUGUUUCUUAGAUAAUAUUGUUCUUUCCUGCGAACCAGCCCGUAUUCAUUCACUAAACAGGAAUCUGGUUGGUGUAACAUUAUCAGUUCACGCCUCAUUCAUUUAAUUGAUUUGGCUGGAAUCUGGUUGGGAUAACAUUUUGAGUUCAUAUUCAAGUACUUGCUCUGUGUAGGUAUCCUGUUGUAUGGCAUUAAUGUUUGACUCAACUGAAACUUCCAAGCAGUUAAAUCUUCAAAGAAGUAGUCAAAGUUGUUGCAUUGUUGCUAGCUAUUUGUUUCUAUUAAUUUUAAAAUGUGUCGCAGGGAAGCUUGGUGCUAAAGAGGUUUUCCCUUCUUAUGGAUUCUAAGACCUGAUUUACUUAAUCCGAGUUCAUGACUUUUUAUCUUGUCCUUCUAA
Molecule: long non-coding RNA, 553 nt
Organism: Nymphaea colorata (pocket water lily)
Lineage: Eukaryota; Viridiplantae; Streptophyta; Magnoliopsida; Nymphaeales; Nymphaeaceae
Exons: 2
Source: RefSeq, a predicted model, not a curated record